AUGCCUCACAUGCUGCUCUUCAUGGCCAGAAGGACAGUGAAACUCACAAAGCUUAAAAAGAGAAGGGGUGUUCCAGGUCUUCCAGAACAGCUGGGAAACCUGCCCCAAGAAAGAGUUCAGGUCCUGCUCAUUAUCUUCAAAAAGGGCUGAAGACUUCUGGUCUAUACACUGUUUUCUUGUCCAAAUGCCUUUUCUGCCUUGAGUGGUGUUGCUGUUCUCUGCAUCCUCCUCUGUACCUUGUUCUUCUAUAUGUUCCUGGAAACAUCCUAGAAGCAUAUUGAUGCGAUGAGGGAUUUCUCCUUGAACAAAGAUUUCUCAUUCAUAUAUAAAGUGAUUCCUCUCCAUUCUAAUGACUGCUUUCCCUCUUUCUUUGUGUCUGUCAUGCAUUUUACAUGAAUGAGUUUGAGUCUUAGGAUUUUCUGCCAUUUAUAACUGUUUUUAUUUUCUCUUAUGUUCAUUUGUACCUAUAAUAGUUCUUGGCAGAUUACCAUGCAUUUCUGAAAAAGGCGAUUUUCUCCUUUUUCUGCGGCUCUUUUUCAAGCUGUUUAUAUGUCUGAAUUUACUAGGGCUGAUCCAGAGUUUAGUAUUACUUUGAGUGUGUGAGUCAUAAUCAACAAUUUUAGGCUGCAGUUAAGAAUGGUCCAUUGAAUCCAUUAGCAAGGAACUGAUGUGAAAAGGAAGAUAGAAAUACUAUAAAAUUACUUCCGUAUGCAGGAAAAGAAGCUUAUUCCUGAAAAAAAGAAAAACCAAGCUAAUGGAUGCACAUUAGCAAACAGGUAAGUGCCCAGGAAAUACUGAAUAAAGAAUUUUAGACUUUCCUUGUGUUGUGGUUU
This 833-nucleotide long non-coding RNA is filed under the name Cyanistes caeruleus (blue tit). RNAcentral describes it as "lncRNA (ENSCCEG00000010412.1)". The record is from RNAcentral. Lineage: Eukaryota; Metazoa; Chordata; Aves; Passeriformes; Paridae.